This 72-nucleotide transfer RNA is filed under the name Camelus bactrianus (Bactrian camel). It matches the Rfam family "tRNA". From Rfam's summary of the family: Transfer RNA (tRNA) molecules are approximately 80 nucleotides in length. Their secondary structure includes four short double-helical elements and three loops (D, anti-codon, and T loops). Further hydrogen bonds mediate the characteristic L-shaped molecular structure. tRNAs have two regions of fundamental functional importance: the anti-codon, which is responsible for specific mRNA codon recognition, and the 3' end, to which the tRNAs corresponding amino acid is attached (by aminoacyl-tRNA synthetases). tRNAs cope with the degeneracy of the genetic code in two manners: having more than one tRNA (with a specific anti-codon) for a particular amino acid; and 'wobble' base-pairing, i.e. permitting non-standard base-pairing at the 3rd anti-codon position. Lineage: Eukaryota; Metazoa; Chordata; Mammalia; Artiodactyla; Camelidae. RNAcentral also lists the same sequence under 3 other names. The record is from Rfam by way of RNAcentral.
GGGGGUAUAGCUCAGGGGUAGAGUGCAUGCCUAGCAUGCACAAGGUCCCGGGUUUAAUCCCCAGUACCUCUG